CUUCCUUCUUCCCUCUCUCCUUCCUCCCUCUUCAUCUUGUCUUCCCUUCCUUCCUCCCUCUCUCCUUUCCUUCGUCCUUUCUUCUUUUCUCUCCCUUUCCCUCUCCCAUCCUUCCUCCUUCUCUUUCCCAGGCAAUUCUUUUCUUUUCUUCCCCAACCCUUUCUCCUCUCCUUCCCUCCCCCUUCGUCUCUUCCCUUCCCCUCUUUUUCUCCCUUUCUCUUUCCCUUCUUCAAUCCCUUUCUCUCUUGCUGUCUUUUUCUCCACCUUGUUCAGAAAAGCCUGCAAAGCAGAGCCUGCUCUCAGAGUCAUGUCACGAGUAACCCAUUUGUGUUACUUGCGGUUUACCUACCUGUAGAAAAUUUGUACCCUAAGAUCUCCACAUACUGCGGGCAAAUGGUUUAUAAUUCAACUUCACAAAUAUUUACUGUGCUCUGGUUAACUGAGUAUCCUUUGUGCUAGAGGUGCCAGAGAGAUGCAAAUGGCAGCGCCAGUCCUUGGAGGAGCCAGUCUGGGGCCCCUGGCUGAUGUUGGCAGAAGACACAUCCCUCUCUCCCUUCAAGGAUGCUGAAGAGCUCUCUGUCUACUAGUACCCUGGGCCCACUUUUCUCUCCAACAAGGUGCAGAAAAGGGCAUCGUUGCCAGGUUUGCAAGAUCGUAACAAGACAGUGCAUUGUAGGUAUAAUCUGCCGGAAUGAGGAGGCGCUCAGCCUGCGCGGAUUGGAAGGGCCACAUAAACAUCUGUCAGUCCAUUGACAACAGCACCCAGAAGCCCGAAUUGUGACUUCACACCGAUUUCUUCCCCUGCUAUAAAUUCUACAAGAUCGUCAACAUAAAUAAGACUUUCUCCUCAACCAGUUUUUCAGGGCCAUGCCAGGCUUUAAAAUGGGCAGGCCCCUGGCCGGG
This 903-nucleotide long non-coding RNA is filed under the name Homo sapiens (human). RNAcentral describes it as "HSALNT0194282". Lineage: Eukaryota; Metazoa; Chordata; Mammalia; Primates; Hominidae. The record is from RNAcentral.